AAGAUACAAAGCUAAAAACUCAUACGGACUUCGGCUAAGCCAUCAAAAUUUUGAGAAGCAAUAAGAAGCUUGGUUAGUGUUUUGGAGUCAAAUAUGACUAGAUGUCAUGUGUAUGAUUGAGUAUAAGAACUAGAACCGCAACCGUUUCCCGAAAGCUAAAGUAGUGUUUCCUUGUUAGAAGCUACAAAGCCAAAGACUCAUACAGACUUCGGCUACACCAUCAAAGUUUUGAGAAGCAAUAAUAAGCUUGGUUAGUAUUUUGGAGUCAAAUAAGACAAGAUGUUAUGUGUUUGAUUGAGUAUAAGAACUAGAACCGCAACAUCUUCCGAAAAGCUAAAGUUGUGUUUCCCUUCUAGAAGAUACAAAGCCAAAAACUCAUACGGACUUUGGCUACACCAUCAAAGAUUUAAGAAGCAACAAGAAGUUUGGUUAGUGUUUUGAAGUCAAAA
RNAcentral lists this small RNA (449 nucleotides) under Arabidopsis thaliana (thale cress). RNAcentral describes it as "ATSL197500". The record is from RNAcentral. Lineage: Eukaryota; Viridiplantae; Streptophyta; Magnoliopsida; Brassicales; Brassicaceae.